This 425-nucleotide ribosomal RNA is filed under the name uncultured bacterium. RNAcentral's name for it is "bacterial SSU rRNA". It matches the Rfam family "Bacterial small subunit ribosomal RNA", at positions 355 to 796 of the family's 1533-position model. The record is from RNAcentral.
CGAGGAAUUUUGCGCAAUGGGCGAAAGCCUGACGCAGCAACGCCGCGUGGGUGAGGAAGGCCUUCGGGUCGUAAAGCCCUUUUGUCGGGGACGAGAGAUGACGGUACCCGACGAAGAAGCCACGGCUAACUACGUGCCAGCAGCCGCGGUAAUACGUAGGUGGCGAGCGUUGUCCGGAAUUAUUGGGCGUAAAGGGCGCGCAGGUGGUGCGGUAAGACUGCCGUGAAAUCUCCCGGCUCAACCGGGCGGGUGCGGUGGAGACUGCCGGACUGGAGGCACUCAGAGGCCGGUGGAAUUCCCGGUGUAGUGGUGAAAUGCGUAGAGAUCGGGAGGAACACCAGUGGCGAAGGCGGCCGGCUGGGGGUGACCUGACGCUGAGGCGCGAAAGCGUGGGGAGCGAACCGGAUUAGAUACCCGCGUAGUCC